This is a long non-coding RNA of Protopterus annectens (West African lungfish), 224 nucleotides long. RefSeq lists it as uncharacterized. The transcript is spliced from 2 exons. The record is from RefSeq and is a predicted model, not a curated record. NCBI's taxonomy places the organism in Eukaryota, Metazoa, Chordata, Ceratodontiformes, Protopteridae.
GGCCAAGGAACCCCAGACCUCAUGGACAGCACAUGCAGAUUACCCCACGGUCCAGCACAUUUUGGAUUCUUUGACUGCACCUCGUUAGUUGCAGAAAUUUAGUCUGUCCACAUCUGAUGAAGUAAACUAAAUGAAAACGUAUAGGCUGAGAUUUCAGAAACGUUAAUGUGUAUUGGGAUUUCUAUGUGCUGUGGUUUCGUGCAAUAAAUUGUUUUUUUAAAAGU